UACAGAGGUCCCAAGCGUUGUUCGGAUUCACUGGGCGUAAAGGGUGCGUAGGUGGUCAGGUAAGUCGGAUGUGAAAUUUCCGAGCUCAACUCGGAAACUGCAUUGGAAACUACCUGGCUCGAGGGUUGGAGGGGGGACUGGAAUGCUUGGUGUAGCAGUGAAAUGCGUAGAUAUCAAGCGGAACACCAGUGGCGAAGGCGAGUCCCUGGACAACUCCUGACACUGAUGCACGAAAGCUAGGGGAGCAAACAGG
This 253-nucleotide ribosomal RNA is filed under the name uncultured bacterium. Its description in RNAcentral is "partial 16S ribosomal RNA". It matches the Rfam family "Bacterial small subunit ribosomal RNA", at positions 524 to 776 of the family's 1533-position model. The record is from RNAcentral.